UGAUGUAUGGAGAAGACACCCACUGAUCUCCUACCUCGCCACCGUGCCUGCCCCACACAAGCCUGACUGUAGCUGUCAGAUCGAUCUUUCUAAACACAGAUCUGAAGGGCAUUCCCCAGUGCUGUUAGACUAACUCACAAGGCCCUGACGUGGCCUACACAUCCAUACGUGAUCCAGUGUCUGCCUUACUCUCUAAUCCCAUCUCUGUCCACUCCCCUCUCUAAAUAUCAGGGCCCUGGACAUAUCAUGCUGCUCCCUGUUUCUGAUGCAAGUUAUGCCUGUUAACACCUCCGUGCCUUUGCCCCAGGGCCGACAAACUUCAUCCUUCAUGUUAAUUCAAAGUCUUAGUUUGCUUUGGCUACUCUAACAGAAUCCCACAGACCGGAUGGUUUAAAUACCAAUUUAUUUCUCACAGUCUGAAGGCCAGAAGUCCAAGAUCAAGGUGCUGGCAAGGGAGGUUUCAUUCUGAGACUUCUUACGUUGGCUUGUAGGUGGCUGCCACCUUGCCAUGUGCUUACAUGAUGUGUGUGCCUGAGGAACGAGAGGGCCAGCUCUCUGAGGUCCAUACUCGGAAGGACCUAAUCCCAUUUGAUCAGGGUCCCACCAGUUCCUUUGUUAGAGGCCCAUCUUCAAAUACAACCACAUUUGGAGGUUAGGGCUUUAAUAUAUGAAUUUUGUGGGUAGGGGGGAACACAAACAUUUGGUCCAUAGGAUCCAACUAGGAGUGGCUGCCUGGAGAAAGGUGUUGAUAAGAAGUCUGAGGUCCUUCCUGGACUCCAUGAUAAAAAAAAAACACUAUGCUUGAUUCAUGAUGUCUGCCUUGGACUUGGCAGGAGAUAUUGGGGUGGCUUACAUACCAUAUGUUUUCUUCCCUUGUUUUAUGUGCUCAUCUUUGCUAGCCUCUCUUGGCCCCAGCACAAUCUCUGACACAUACCAGGCCCCUGACACAUUUUCAAUGAAUGAAUCAACAAGUGAGUAAUGGUCUCAAAGCACAUUGCAAAUGGACGGUUUCACUGAAGCUUCACAGAGGCUGUGAGGUAAAGCCGAACGGGCAGGUGGUUGGAAAUCUUUAAGGUGUUCGCCCUUCUCUCCCCUCACCCUGGGCUGGAGAUGCUGCAAUUGUCUUAGCAACUGCACGGAUGCCUCGACGGAUGUCUGUCAGGAUCACAGGUGACUUUUGCUGACACUGUCUCCCAGAGCCACUGAGACCUUUGCCCUUCUCACUUCCUUCUGCCCCUGCACCCCCAUUCACCCCAGUGCUGCACCCCCACCCUCUGGCCGCUGUCACUUUGAGAAGCACAUUGAUUCUGUGGUCACUCAGCCUGGUAGCAAGGGAGGGCCUCGCCUGCCUUCCUAUGGGACACAUGUUAACUGGUGCUGUGAUGCAGGAGUCACAAGCAGGCGUGGGCGUGUGUGAUGGGGAGAGAGGUGUCGUGAUUAAAGGGGAAAUGUACUCAUGUCUCAAGUGCUCCUGUUGGAAUGCAGCUCAUGAAGACGAGUGUGUGUCUAAAUGUAUAUACCUGGGCCCGCUUCUUCCCCUGCUCUCGCGCUCAGCCACACUGCCUCGACCAGCCAUUGGGUCUGUCUCUGCCAACCCAGCCAUGUGCCCUGUGGCCGAACCUCUUGUAGAGCACUGUAGAUGGACAUCCUGCCCCAGCCCCCCUCCUGCUCUGGGCCUGCUGUAGCCUCCCCCACCGGGCCCUCAUUCUCAGCCAGUGCAGUGCCUACCUGUGUAAGAUGUGAUCCUGCUUUAAGGAGCUCGUGGCCCAUAUCAGUGGCAGGACGCUUGGGACCAGCUGUGUGUUGGGAGGAGCGGAGGCCAUGUCCAGUCUGCUGGACAGGGAGGGCAGGUGAGCAGGCCUAGGGCCGUGUGGCUGGGUAUCCCCCUGUUCGCCUGCAGUGGAGGGAGGGAGCAGGGGGCAGAGGGAAGGAGACCAGCCUGGGAGGGGUCGUUUGGAUUAUACAGGACAGCAGAGAUGGCACCAAGAGCCUGCUCUCUGGAGCUUGCAACCUGGAGAACAGAGCAAGGACUUCCUGCCGCUGGUUCACUUGGGGUUCUGUCUCCUCAGCUGUGGACACUGUCUCACAUAGUAACUGCUGAGAGAAAAAGGACCCAAGGGGCCCAGGGCUCAGCACUCAACCUGGCCUCGCCUCCACAGAGUUUCCCAAGGUUGGAUAAUGCCUGUGAUCAUUUCCCAGGACUCUGGCAAGCCUUCCCAGGAGAACCAUCUGAAGGGCACUGGCCUUUCCACUUCCUCUCUGUCAUCCUGGAGGCCCCACUAGUCCAGCCAAAAAGGCCAUUGAGCCCCGGGAGUGGAGUCACAGAGAGGUGAGGGUGUCCUUGGCUCUGCCUAUGCUCUGAGCCCAGUGCUCUCUGAAGUACCCUGGGAAGUAGCCAGUCUCUACUCCCACCCUUUGGCCAGCCCUAGUUCCAUGAGAAGAAUCCUAGGUGGUUCACUCUCUAUGGGGCUCCUUCCUCCCCAGCAAAGUUGUUGAAUAUUUAUUGCACAGUAAAUUGAGUCUUUGUAUCUCCACUGCUGCCCAUUAUGUGCAGUCCACAGUGGGCUCUCUGCACGAUCUGACCUCUACGUCUCUCCCACUCUGACCUGAUUCAUAUCAUAGUCCUCACCGUGCCCUCCUUUGGCCAUACUAACUUCAUUGUGCCUGUAGUUCCAACCUCUUUCUUACCUCUAGGCUUGGCCAGUGUAAUUUCCUUUUCCCCAGCUCUUCACCUGAGUGAUUUCUGCUCAUUUCUCAGGUCUUUGCAUAAAAUACUCUCUUUCAGGGAAAGCUUCCCGGAAAUUUGAUAGUGAGCUGCAGAACAGACUAGGCUAGAGAGACCAGAGACUGGGAAGUCUGUCCUAGGCUAAGACCUCAUGGUCAAAGCCCAAAGUGGGAUGUGCAUAAGCCAAACUGGAAAAGGAAAGGAAAAGACAGAUUCUCGUGACCAAUCCAACAAAUUUGGGAGUGAAAAAUACAGAGAAGUUGACAAUAUAAAAAUAUGCUGUGUCCACAACCUGUGUGAAGCUUACUUUUAGGCGUUUGUGUCCUAGGAAAGAGAGAGGCCCUAACUGAUUUGGCAGCAAAUUUCUAACUAACACUUUUAUGUGGGUCCCAUCCUCCCAAGAAAAUGGAGAGUCUCUUGCAAGAGAAGUAUCUCUUCUCAUUGCACAUGCAUUCCUUUUUACUUCUAGCAGAAUUCUGGCUGUCUUCUCAGUUCUGGGCCUCAAAUUUAUAAUGCUUAUCUCAAAGAGCUUCUAGUUCUUCAACCGUUUUCUGCAGGAGCCAGAGUGGGGGGUGGGGACAAGGAGACAAAGCCAUCUUUUCCCCCUUGAUCUUACUGUAUCAUGAGUCCCAGCAGGAGAGAGAUGGCAUUUCAGUGUUACCUUACUGCUCUGUUACUGGAGAGAAUAUAAUGAAUGGACUGUUUAUAAAGAUGUGGGCAGGAUGGAAGGCAUCAGGCAAGGGAAUGGUGCAGCACCUCCAGGACCUAACUGUGCAGUGCCAUCAGCUCAGGAAGCUUGAAAACACAAGAGAGGAAGUGAUUAUAAGAACCCAACGAGGGCUGUAGAUGAAGGAGGGGGUUGCUGUGGCCUACCUGCAGGAAACAACCAGCCACACCAUGGCCCACCCAUCCCCCACGGGCAAGGAACUAGAAUAAUAAACACCCUGCCGCUCUUUCCUCCUGCCCUCCUGUUUCCUGCUGGCGUCCACUGUGGCCUCAGGUCGACCAGAACUGAGAAGGCGAGGAAGCUCCAUUGGCACAGUUUAUACAGCUUUGGCCCCAGGGACAGGGCAUGGUGGAAGAGAAAGAGGAGCAGAACUGGAGAGACCAACAGAACAUCCAGCACGCAAACACGGAGUGCCAGGUGAACAAUUCUCCAGGAGGACAGAAAUCCGGCAAUGUGGAUGUGAAGACGCAGGAUCCAGCCAGGGCAGGAGAGAAGGACCCAUUCCAGACAUGCCUGAUUCCACGCAUCAUCCCUUCUGUCUACCUUGUGGCGGGUUGGUCCCCCAGGACACAGACUCUGAGCCAGGCUACACGGAUCAAAGGCCACUGACCAGCCCAGGGACUGGCUGUGUUUGGGACCCUUCAAGAGUAUCAGCUAGUCUCUUCGAGUCAUGAUCUCCCUACAAGGUGAACCAUUGGGGAAAUACAUGUCACAAAGUGUCAUCUCAGACCACCUGCAGGACACGGCCUCCAGGCUAACUGGGAGCCACGCUGGAUGGGAGGAACUUUGCAUCCUGCUGUGAGCAUCACCGGUGAGCACACAAAUUAUGUAGCCGACCCUGACCCGAAGCAGCACCUGAGAAGUGUCACUGGGACCAGGCAGGAACCUCCACACUAUUUUCCAGAGUGGCUGCACCCGUUUGCAUUCCCACCAGCAGUGCAAGAGGGUUCUCGUUUCUCCAUAUCCUCGCCAACAUCUGUUGUUUCCUGAGUUGUUCAUUUUAGCCACUCUGACAGAUGUGAGGUGGUAGGUAUCUCCUUGUGGUUUUGAUUUGUAUUUCCCUGGUAAUAAGUGCAGAACAGGCUUUUUAUAUUAGCUCUUUUGAGGUAUAUUUUAUAGGCAAUAAAACUCACCAAUUUAAAGUAUACAAUUGGGUGAAUUUUGACAAAUGUAUACAGUUGUGUAACCACCACCACAAUCAUGAUAAAACAUAUUUCUAUCACCCCAAAAUGUUCUUUAUGCUUCUUUGGAACCAAUCACCAUUCCCCUACUUUUGGCCCCUGGAAAGCACAGAUCUGCUUUCUAUCAUUAUAGUUUUGCCUUCUCUAGAAUGUCACAUAAAUAUUAUCAUACAGUACGUAGCCUUUGCAUUUAGUUUCUUACACUUAGCAUCACACACUUUCAGAUGUGUAUGUUUCAGUCAUUCAUUCUUUUUUUCUUUUAUUGCUGAGUAGCAUUCCAUUGUAUUGGUAUACCACAAUCUGCUUAUCCACUCACCUACUGAUGGACAUUUGGGUUGUUUCCAGUUUCUAGAACUGAAAUCCCAAAUGCAACAUAGGGGUGGCAUGGAGUAAGAUUUGGAGACUUGAAGGAAGCACUAAUCUCUGUAUUAAUCCUUAUCUUUUUUGGGGGGAAGACAUAUAUCUACACCACAGAUCAGCAAAUGUAUUCAAUAAAGGGCCAAUUGCAAAUAUUUUAGGCUUUGCCAUUGUAGCUAUAGACAAUAUGUAAGCAAAAAAAUGUGGCUGUGUUCCAAUAAAACUUCACUUAGGGAUGCUGAAAUUUGAAUUAUAGAAGUUCCAUGUGUCACAAAAUAUUUUUCUUCUUUUGAUUUUUUUUUCAGCUACUUAAAAACAUAAAAAUUAUUCUUAGCCUGCAGGAGGUACAAAGGUGGAUGGUGGGUUGGAUUUGGCACACAGGCCACAGUUUGCGAACUUCUGAUCUGAAUUUAUUCAAAAUACUUUAGAAAAUUAUGUUUAAGUAUGUCUUAAAAAUUUAAUGGUAACCACCAAAAAAGUAGAAAUAAAAUGUAUAAUUUCUAACCCACAAUACAAAAAACAAUGGAGGGGCGCCUGGGUGGUUCAGUCAGUUAAACGUCCCAUUCGUGGUUUCAGCUCAGGUCAUGAUCUCAUGGUUUGUGGGUUCGAGUCCCAUUUUGGUCUCCAUGCUGAUGGUGCAGAACCUGCUCGGGAUUCCCUCUCUCUCUCCUUCUCUCUCUGCCCCUCCCCUCCUCUCUCUCUCUCUCUCUCUCUCUCAAAAUGAAUAAUAAAAAAUUAUUUAAAAAUACAAAUACAAAUAAGGAAAAACAGUAGAAUACAGAAAAACUGAUCAACUGAAGAAAAGAUGGAAACGAAAAAGAGAAGAAAGUAUGCUGGAGAACAUAAAAACAGCAGGACAAGGAUAAGUCUGGUUUUAUAAGUAAUCAGAGUACCCACGAAUAGGUUAAAUUAGGCCAUUACAAGACCUAUAUUUUCAGUUUAAGUUAAUAAAAAGAAAAAAAUUAUGUUAUAUCUUAUUUCCAAAAAGUAUAUCUAAAGAAAAUUGUGCAGAAAGUUUGAAAACAAAGGUAGAGGGAAAUAGACACCUCCUAAAUAGGUAUCAUAUGUUACAUAAUAGCUAUAAAAUCCAAAACAAUAAUUUAAAAAACAUCACACCCAUUAGGAUGGCAACUAUAAACAAAACACACAAAAUAGAAACCAGCAAGUGUCAGCAAGGAUGGGGAGAAAUUGGAGCUCCUGUGCACUGUUAGUGGGAAUGGAAAAUGGUGUAGCCACUAUGGAAAAUAGGAUGAUGCUUUCUCAAAGAACUAAAAACAGAAUUACCAUAUGAUCUGGCAAUUCCACCUCUAGGUACACACCCCAAAGAAUUGAAAGCAGGGACUCAAGGAGAUAUUUGUACACCCAUGUUCAUAGCAGCAUUAUUCACGGCAAUAGGAAAUAGCUCAAAGGAAAGCAGCUCAAAUGCCUAUCAGCAGAUGAUAAGAUAAACAACACAAGGUAGUCUGUACACACAGUGGAACGUGAUUAAGCCUUGAAAAGAAGGAAAUUCUGUCACCUGCAACAACACAGAUGAAACUUGAGGACAUUAUGUGGGUGAAAUAAACCAGUCACAAAAGGAUGAAUAUUGUAUGAUUCCACUUACAUGAGGAUCGUAGAAUAAUCGGGUUCACAGAGACAGAAAGUUGAGGGGCAAUUGCUGGGGCGGGCAGGGAGGAAAGAGGAAUGGCGAGUUGUUACUUAAUGUGUAGAGUUUCAGUUUUACAGAGAAGAGCUCUGUGGGCGGAAGGCAGGGAUGGUUGCACCACAGUGUGAUGUACUUAAGGCCAUAGAACUGUACACUUAAAAAUGGUUAAAGUGGCAAACUUUAUGUUAUGUGCAUUUUACCAAAAUUAAAAAAAAAUAAAAUAGAAAGCAUUACAGUAAACAUGGAUUAGUUCAUACUGAUAAAAGCUACAGUCUACUAAAAAGAUAUACAGUCGUUUGCUUCAGUGCAAGGCACAAUAGAGUUCUGAAAUGUACCUAAUAUGUAUAAAUAACACAUUGUCCCCAGUGGAGCGAGGACUCAUUUCUUCCAGGCACCCAUGGCCCUUUUACAAAUUAGUCAUGUAUCUGACCACAAAGGGAAUCCCAGUAAAUUCCAAAAAGCACACAAAUCUGAUUAUUUUGUCACUCUGCAAUAAAGUUAGAAAUUAAGAUGCAAAACAAAACACAAGAAGUAGCAAAAUAAAAAUCUUCUCACUGGAAAAUUUAAAGCCUCUUUUAAAGUAACUCC
Long non-coding RNA from Acinonyx jubatus (cheetah), 7223 nucleotides. RefSeq lists it as uncharacterized. The transcript is spliced from 6 exons. The record is from RefSeq and is a predicted model, not a curated record. Lineage: Eukaryota; Metazoa; Chordata; Mammalia; Carnivora; Felidae.